This 399-nucleotide unclassified non-coding RNA is filed under the name Hevea brasiliensis (rubber tree). Lineage: Eukaryota; Viridiplantae; Streptophyta; Magnoliopsida; Malpighiales; Euphorbiaceae. The record is from RNAcentral.
GCCGAACAUUGCAGCCAUUGGAUUCAGAAUUGCUGCAGAACCAUUUGAGAAAUGUCGUAGAAGUUUGUUAUCAAGUUCUUCAAGCUUAUCAUCGGCAGUGCUUUCAUUGAUACUGACAGCAAAAGUUAUCAGGCUCUGAACAUCCUCCUCGGAUCCAGCAAUAGGAAAACGACCCAAGUCAUGCCUAAACUUAUCCAAGGCUUGAAAAGCCAAAUGUAAUAGGGGUGGGCGGUCAAACUUAGAGAAAUCACUGAGAAGGAAUUCCCCUGGAUCUCGAAGAGCAUCUCUCAAGGGUCUAAAUUGUAGGACCUUAGGUUGCUUUACCUGUGUAACUAUACCACCUUUGUCAUACUCACCGUAAUGAGUUGUGUCUUCUUCAAUAGUAAAUGAAAACGGUCG